This 301-nucleotide ribosomal RNA is filed under the name uncultured bacterium. Its description in RNAcentral is "partial 16S ribosomal RNA". It matches the Rfam family "Bacterial small subunit ribosomal RNA", at positions 509 to 807 of the family's 1533-position model. The record is from RNAcentral.
CAGUCGCCGCGGUAAUACGUAGGGUGCGAGCGUUAAUCGGAAUUACUGGGCGUAAAGCGUGCGCAGGCGGUUGUGUAAGACAGGUGUGAAAUCCCCGGGCUUAACCUGGGAACUGCGCUUGUGACUGCACAGCUAGAGUAUGGCAGAGGGGGGUGGAAUUCCACGUGUAGCAGUGAAAUGCGUAGAGAUGUGGAGGAACACCGAUGGCGAAGGCAGCCCCCUGGGCCAAUACUGACGCUCAUGCACGAAAGCGUGGGGAGCAAGCAGGAUUAGAUACCCGCGUAGUCCCUGUCUCUUAUAC